RNAcentral lists this ribosomal RNA (467 nucleotides) under uncultured bacterium. RNAcentral's name for it is "partial 16S ribosomal RNA". It matches the Rfam family "Bacterial small subunit ribosomal RNA", at positions 28 to 507 of the family's 1533-position model. The record is from RNAcentral.
GAUGAACGCUGGCGGCGUGCUUAACACAUGCAAGUCGAACGGAAAGGCCCAAGCUUGCUUGGGUACUCGAGUGGCGAACGGGUGAGUAACACGUGGGUGAUCUGCCCUGCACUUCGGGAUAAGCCGGGGAAACUGGGUCUAAUACUGGAUAGGACCACUUCUUGGAUGUUGUGGUGGAAAGUUUUUUCGGUGUGGGAUGAGCUCGCGGCCUAUCAGCUUGUUGGUGGGGUAAUGGCCUACCAAGGCGUCGACGGGUAGCCGGCCUGAGAGGGUGUACGGCCACAUUGGGACUGAGAGACGGCCCAGACUCCUACGGGAGGAAGCAGGGGGGAAUAUUGCACAAGGGGCGCAAGCCGGAUGCAGCGACGCCGCGUGGGGGAUGACGGCCUUCGGGUUGUAAACUCCUUUCGCUAGGGACGAAGCGUUUUGUGACGGUACCUGGAGAAGAAGCACCGGCUAACUACGUG